RNAcentral lists this long non-coding RNA (515 nucleotides) under Daphnia pulex (common water flea). Its description in RNAcentral is "uncharacterized LOC124193055, transcript variant X1". The record is from RNAcentral. Lineage: Eukaryota; Metazoa; Arthropoda; Branchiopoda; Diplostraca; Daphniidae.
CUCUUUUUUACAAAUGUCACAUGUCUCGUGUAUACGAGACACAUCAUAAGUUACUUAAAAAAAUCUAAACAAAUUCUGAUUAGGAUUUUGAGUUAAAUUUAACUCUUUUUAAAUAACACAAAAUUUUGCUAAUGAUUCUUAUUGCAUUCUUGGUUUAAUGUUUUCAGAAAAUUUCAUCUGAUGUUUUCGUGUGACCUACGUGCUUGGGACAACAGAGAUCAAAUGGUCCAAUCCAAUAAUGCAAGCUAUGUCUUUGAAAGCAAAAUUGUUUCUAUUUGCAAGGUUAACAUUUGGCAUUCAAGUCGUAGUACAUCUAAAUAUUGCUGCCUUCCCUAGAUCCAAUUCUUUGCUGUUAUUUAUUUUGAGGACAACUGCAAGACAAUGCUACCACUAAAGUGGCUGUGGUGACCACAACUUGAGUUCUAAUUUAGGGGUAAGAUUGAUUGAUUUGAGGUUUUACUUGCUGUCGCUACAACAUGGUUUAAAAAUAAAAUUUUUCUUUACUUUCUUGUUAA